UAAAGGAGCCAGUGUCAGUGUGUGACAGAGAGCAGCAGUCACUGGGACUCAGUGUGUACUUUACCUCAGUGCUCCUCCCUCUGUCCUGCAGCCAUGAAGCUCCUACCAGCCCUGCUCACCCUCACAGCACUGGCUCUCUCAGGUGUGAAGGCUCAGAUUGUACUGACUGAGUCUGAACCAGUGGUGAAGAGACCAGGAGAAUCACACAAACUAACAUGUACAGCCACUGGCUUCACAUUCAGUAGCUACUGGAUGGGCUGGAUCAGACAGGCUCCUGGGAAGGGACUGGAGUGGUUGGCUCUCAUACACCCAAGCUCUAGUGGAGUUUACUAUGCCCAGUCUGUUCAGGGCAGAUUCACCAUCUCCAGAGACAACAGCAAGAACCAGCUGUAUUUACAGAUGAACAGCCUGAAAGCUGAAGACACGGCUGUGUACUACUGUGCCGGAGACUCACAGUGAUGGGGGCUGUGGGGAAGCCGUACAAAUACUACUUCCUCACAGAGAAUAAGGAUGACAUAUUAUCGAUUUAUUUAGGUAACUUGAUAAUUUAGUUAAUUAAUAUUUUUUCUUCUUUUAAAACAUUCAAAAAUGUACACAAAGCUGGGUACAGGAACAGUGAUAGAAUUCUUGACAGUUAAAGUAUAUGUGGGGAAAUGUUGAACCUCAACACAGUAAU
Non-coding RNA from Paramormyrops kingsleyae, 676 nucleotides. The record is from the annotation of a RefSeq genome assembly. Lineage: Eukaryota; Metazoa; Chordata; Actinopteri; Osteoglossiformes; Mormyridae.